Sorex araneus (European shrew) is the source of this 1131-nucleotide RNA transcript. RefSeq lists it as uncharacterized. Lineage: Eukaryota; Metazoa; Chordata; Mammalia; Eulipotyphla; Soricidae. The transcript has 2 exons. The record is from RefSeq and is a predicted model, not a curated record.
GCCCGCGCCCCGGGGAGCCCACAGGUGCAGCGCGCCCCAAGGCUGCCCGGGCGCCCCUCCGACAGCCUCCCCCGCCUCCCGGACGCAGGUCCACCUGGAUGCACCAGCCGGUGCAGUAAGAGGGAGAGGCCCCGGGACGCGGGGGAGGUCGCUGCGGGCGCCGGGAAAGGAGACGCACAGCAGGAAUUUUUUUUUUCUUUUCAAAGCAGUCAAGGAUGAAACGUCUCUUGGAAAGGAGGGAUGCAGGGGAAAUAAGAGGAAAGGAUCUUGAGAGACGGUCCCUUUUCCUCCCCCCGGCCUGGUUUCUGCCCUUGCUGUUCAUUAUAUCUGUCCUAGCUCGAAGGCAUCAACCUUCUACAUCUUCUCCAAGAUGCAGGACUGGACGUUCAGUGCCCCGCUUUCUUAAGAAUGAUCUUGAACUGCCCAAAUAGCUAUGCUGCUCUGGACCUAAAAGCAUCGGUCACCAAAGCGCUGCCCACAGAGGGUCUAGUGGAAUCAGGUAGGAGGGAUUGACUUUGCCUCUGUUAGGGUGCUCUGAAGCCUGUCCUUUUCUUUCCUGUCACUGCACUUGGCUGAAGGUAUCAAGAACCGUGGGACCAUGACUCAGGAAGAUGCAGAUUUCUAUCCCGAGAAGUCUGCAUGGAUCUGCCAGUUCCCUAAAGGUCGUCUUCUGCCCUUUUGCCUGCCACACACCCAAUCCCCCAAACCCUUGGAUUAUCUCCCCAUGCACCCCAUGUCCUUUGAAUGGCCUCAGCAAAGCAUCAACAAAUAUCCAUUAUGAUGCAAUAUAUGUUUAUGAGGUUUAUGCCAUUUAAUGUCUACCAUGGAGGACCUUAUGUUUAGUAUCCCCAGGAAGAAGACAGGAAACCGAAGCUCAAGAACCUCUCCCAGAGCUGACAGCAAGUGACAUGAAGUUUGGACAUCAGGGAAAGCCUCAGUGACAGCAGAAUCCCAGUAGCUUUUCAAACACAUCACUCACCCCCACAAUUCCUCCCAGUAUUUCCCCCAGGUUGAUCUGAGUGAUCAAAAAGUAUCUGAAAACCAAGUGAAAGGGGAGGGGGGACGAUUUGAAGAUCAGAGGGAAGCAGGAACUGCUAGAACGUCCACAGGGUCCAGUGCAAAAUAAAAUAU